Long non-coding RNA from Mastomys coucha (southern multimammate mouse), 421 nucleotides. RefSeq lists it as uncharacterized. The record is from RefSeq and is a predicted model, not a curated record. NCBI's taxonomy places the organism in Eukaryota, Metazoa, Chordata, Mammalia, Rodentia, Muridae. The transcript is spliced from 2 exons.
AACCCAAGCAUGAUGGCUCUAUUCUCAAUCCCCGACCGUUCCCUGGAGACUUCAUCUAAUGCCGUCACAGAGGGAUCCAUGCUUCAUUGGAGAUAGGAUGUUCAGGGUCCAUUUCAUGCAGUCCGAGAGAAAUUCCAUCAAUCGCUCAACUCUCUCCUUCAUCAUCCACACCCCUUACCAGCAUCCUCCUAUCUUAAGGACAAAGAGAAAAAGUCAGAAGCAAAAACUGCUUCUGGUAUCCCCGAUCUCCUAUCAUUUCUCUCUGCCCUUGCUUUUUUUUGGAGACAGUGGAGAACAGUGGUUAGAGAAUGGGUCCUCACAGCUGCAGUGUCUGGCCUCAGGUUAGACACCAGAUGGCUGUGUGACGGUGGUACUUAACCAAUAAAAAGGGGAUGAUGACCUCAUCCGAGCCUAGCUAAGA